AUUGAACGCUGGCGGCAUGCCUUACACAUGCAAGUCGAACGGCAGCACGGGUGCUUGCACCUGGUGGCGAGUGGCGAACGGGUGAGUAAUACAUCGGAACAUGUCCUGUAGUGGGGGAUAGCCCGGCGAAAGCCGGAUUAAUACCGCAUACGAUCUACGGAUGAAAGCGGGGGACCUUCGGGCCUCGCGCUUUAGGGUUGGCCGAUGGCUGAUUAGCUCGGUGGUGGGGUAAAGGCCUACCAAGGCGACGCUCAGUAGCCGGUCUGAGAGGGCGACGAGCCACACUGGGACAGAGACACGGCCGAGACCCCUACGGGAGGCAGGUGGGGGGAAUUUCGGACAAGGGGCGAAAGUCUCAUCCAGAAAUGCCGCGUGUGAAGAAGGCCUUCGGGUUGUAAAGCACUGUUGUCCGGAAAGAAAACCUUGGCCCUAAUACGGGCGGGGGAUGACGGUACCGGAAGAAUAAGCACCGGCUAACUACGUG
RNAcentral lists this ribosomal RNA (484 nucleotides) under uncultured bacterium. RNAcentral describes it as "partial 16S ribosomal RNA". It matches the Rfam family "Bacterial small subunit ribosomal RNA", at positions 29 to 507 of the family's 1533-position model. The record is from RNAcentral.